RNAcentral lists this long non-coding RNA (1954 nucleotides) under Malus domestica (apple). RNAcentral's name for it is "long non-coding RNA (MDOM_LNC006601)". Lineage: Eukaryota; Viridiplantae; Streptophyta; Magnoliopsida; Rosales; Rosaceae. The record is from RNAcentral.
UUUAACCAAGUUUAAAUGGUCUACUCCUUCGCCAGAUUGUCAAGUGCAAUUUCAAAGUUAUAAGCUUAAGUUCCCGAGAAGUAAGACAGCAAGGAGUCAACAUAUACAAAGAUGCAACUCAAGAAAGAGAAAAGAAAUUAUUCUAUUUGGUGUUUUUGUUUUUGCUACCCACGGGUACAAAACAUGGAGGAUGGCUUUGGCUAAAAAUUAUAUGAAAACUUAUUGGGGAUAAAGUCCAAGAAAAAGGAGAAAAUGGAAAAGAUGGUUUGUAAAGAAAAAGAACUCCAGAAAAAGGGAAAGGAAGAAAAUGUGUUGUUCAAGAGUUCCACCUAAAGUCCUUUAUGCCAAGAAUUUGAAAGAUAAGAAAAAAAUGGAAAAGAUGGUUAGGAAAAGGAAGCCAAAACUUCCCUUGACCGACUCAUGCUUGGUCCAAUUCCACAAAAGAAAAAUUCUUCAAAUCAACUUUUAAUAAAGACAAAGGAAAAGAGGAAGACAUCUUUCGAAGGACUUAAGUGUGACUAUCAUUUUUUAUCAAACAUUGGGUCAAAAAUAUUGACCAAGCAUUGAUAUGAAACUUACAGCUGCUACAAGACAAAAGGAGAGAAAGAAAAUUUGCCAACCUCUAAAUACAUAAGCUAAAGGAUAUUUGUUUCCUUACCACGGAAAAGUUGGAUUAAAAAGGGUUCAAGCUGUCUCAAGUUCAGAAAAAAAGGAAAAGUUUACUGUCAAACCUUCCAAAUUAAUCAGAAAACUCACCCACAUGGCAGCCUUUAUUUUAACACCCAAAGAACUAGAAGACAAAUCAAGACUACAAAAGAUUUUGGGAAAGUAUCAUUUUAUGCAAGUGUUAAUGAGAAAAGAAUGGCAAGUAUUGAAGGCAAAACAUAAAUGGGAACACAAAAGAGGUAUCCAAAUGCAAGUGUUAAUGAGAAAAGAAUGGCAAGUAUUGAAGGCAAAACAUAAAUGGGACCACAAAAGAGGUAUCCAAAUGCCCACUGUCAAGACCAGUCAAAUAAUCCUUUAUGCGGAAACAGAAAUGCCAGAGAGUGAUAAUACAUCAAAACCCAUUCAAAAGUAUAGCAGAUACCAUGAGCACGUUACUACAAAUUUCUGAAUGCAGAAUCUCACCUUUGGAGCCAUGAGUCAACACUUGUUUUCAACGAACUCAGUAUUGCAAAUGGUGUAUCCAACAACCAAGCCUGCGACGCCUACACAAAAAAUUUAUCACAGUUCAGAGCAGCUUCAACCCACUCCAAAUCAAGUACAGAAAAUAGAAAACAAAAAUGGAAUGACCUGCUGGAUAUUUUCUCCUUUUCGCUUUGAAUUUUCGGUACACAAGAGAAGCAUAAGCAAGAUGGUACAGCAGAAAGAAAAGAGAGCUCGUGGCCUACAUAAAAAGGUCUCUACAGUUUAAGGAAAGAAGAUAAAUUAGAACAAUUCAAAAGAGUUUGAAUUCCACCAAGCUUACCCAUCUUCGUUUGGAAAUCAACGGCUGACAAAUCCAAAAGGAAUUUUAAAAAAAUAUGGCGAAAUCAACAGGAGCUCAAAUAUUGUGGAGCUGCCUUUAGCUUCUGGUAGAAGAACAUUGUGCGUCAAGAGCCAAGGAAAAAAGAGGAUUCCUUUGAAACCAUCUCGCAAGCAGAUGGGGUGAAUUAACUGAACCCUUCACGUGGGAGUCUGCUCAAAGAAAAGUAAAUAUUGAAGACCCACUUCGCCUUCAAGUCUCAGCCACAAAAAAAAAAGUGAAAAUUGUACCCCACAUGGGAGUGCUCACGUGAAGAAAAAGGGAGUGGUUGAAAUUGGAAGUCCUAUUAGAACUUGAAGCCUUAAAAUCACAUAAAAAAAAAAAAAAAAAAAGCAAAGCCUGCUGUCAGAUUUAAUGAAAACUUGGGUCUUGGAUUAAAUGGGUUCAAAAUCCCAUGACAAAUGGGUUUGAAAAUUCAAAAGCAAAGUU